UGGGAAGUACAUUACAAAAACAACUUUAGUAUUCUAGUUAUGAGAUAUGGUAUUUUUAAGCAAUCACUACAAGAAAACACCACAAAUCGGAAGGUAUCGACAACAUACAAUAAGAGACGGCACUGAAAUUAAAAAGGAAAGAAAAAUGUAGAAUAUAUAGCAUUGGUAAGUUUCGAAACGCUAUGUAUUGUUGUCGCAAAGUUCGCCAAGUUCGUACAAGUUCACGCUAUGUAUACUUGUACGUGAGUAUUUUAUUCAACAACAAUAAAAUACUCACGUACAAGUAUUUUAAUUUCAUAAGAUUUCUGCAGACAACUACCUUCUUGUUGUUUUGUCAAGCAACCUUCUUGCGAAGAUGUCAUGAUUAGAAUAUAUGCUAACUGGUGCUACUGAACAAAACCUGUUUGCAUUAUGUGAGAAAAAGAGGGAUGGUCACACCACUAAGCUUCACAACUUUGGAGUGUCUUUGCAGCUUCAGUUCCGGACUAUUUAUAAUAUCUCGAAGGUUCUUUGUGCUGCAUCAAAAUAACAGACCAUUAAACAAGAGUGUCGGUGAGACGUGAUGGACUCAAGAGGCGCCUAAGGGCAUUUCUCUGACCUAUAAAUAAGAUACAGCUCAUUCAACCAAAGUCUCGCCCUGAACCAGUUUCCAAAAACUCAUCACCUAAGAGUACUAGUGUUAGUGUAAGUAACAACACCAACACCAUCAAAGGUGGAAAGAAGAAAUGCAUCCUCUUAAAUUGCUCCGAAAUAGGAGAAAAAAGCGCUAAUGCUACCAAGGUUUGAGUAGAAGUUUCUUGGUGAUGCACCAGUCUGGAGACCAAAUUCAGAAGUCGAAAUCAUUGCUGUUGCAUUAGCUACUACAGUGGCUUGGCCAAGUGACAAAAUAGUUUUUAUCUGAAACAUUGUCUUUGUGUGUGUUACAUAACUUGUUAUCAGAUGUGGCUUUGCUUAAUAACUUGUUAUCUCUUACUUUUUAGA
Molecule: non-coding RNA, 981 nt
Organism: Camelina sativa (false flax)
Lineage: Eukaryota; Viridiplantae; Streptophyta; Magnoliopsida; Brassicales; Brassicaceae
Source: RefSeq, a predicted model, not a curated record